This 430-nucleotide ribosomal RNA is filed under the name Bacillota bacterium. RNAcentral's name for it is "Firmicutes bacterium partial 16S ribosomal RNA". It matches the Rfam family "Bacterial small subunit ribosomal RNA", at positions 355 to 776 of the family's 1533-position model. Lineage: Bacteria; Bacillati; Bacillota. The record is from RNAcentral.
UGGGGAAUAUUGGACAAUGGGCGGAAGCCUGAUCCAGCCAUGCCGCGUGUGUGAAGAAGGCCUUUUGGUUGUAAAGCACUUUAAGCGAGGAGGAGGCUACUUGGAUUAAUACUCUAGGCUAGUGGACGUUACUCGCAGAAUAAGCACCGGCUAACUCUGUGCCAGCAGCCGCGGUAAUACAGAGGGUGCGAGCGUUAAUCGGAUUUACUGGGCGUAAAGCGUGCGUAGGCGGCUUCUUAAGUCGGAUGUGAAAUCCCUGAGCUUAACUUAGGAAUUGCAUUCGAUACUGGGAAGCUAGAGUAUGGGAGAGGAUGGUAGAAUUCCAGGUGUAGCGGUGAAAUGCGGAGAGAUCUGGAGGAAUACCGAUGGCGAAGGCAGCCAUCUGGCCUAAUACUGACGCUGAGGUACGAAAGCAUGGGGAGCAAACAGG